Molecule: non-coding RNA, 10892 nt
Organism: Podarcis lilfordi (Lilford's wall lizard)
Lineage: Eukaryota; Metazoa; Chordata; Lepidosauria; Squamata; Lacertidae
Source: the annotation of a GenBank genome assembly
AGAGAGUGAAGCCCUUUUCUGGAUUGUAAGCAAGAACAGGGUGGUGCACCUGAAGGUGGUGCUUGGGUGGAAGAUCCUGAGAAGAGGGGCAGGGAAGGGAAGACCUCCUGAGGUGGGAGACUGAGAGAAGACAGGGAAGCUCCCAGGUGAGAGCUGGGAGAAGCCAGCCCUUUCUGUGUGAGACAAGGGGUAAGAGCUACCUUUGAGAGAGUAGUAGUAGUAAUAACAAUAAUAAUAAUAAAUAUUUUAUUUAUAUCCCGCCCUCCCCAGCCGAAGCCGGGCUCAGAGCCGCUAACAACAAUAAAAGUAACACAGCAUUCUAAAAUCAAUUCAUUCUAAAAUCAAUUCAAAAUCAAAUUGAUGGCAACCAUUGGGCUAGAGUUCUGUGAGGAUGACCAAAGGAGGGGGUCAGACUGUGCCUUGUCCAAAGGCCUGGUGGAACAGCCCUGUCUUGCAGGCCCUGCGGAAAGAUGUCAAGUCCCGCAAGGACCUAGUUUCUUGGGACAGAGCGUUCCACCAAUUCGGGGCCAGAGCUGAAAAGGCCCUGGCUCUGGUUGAGGCCAGCCUAACCUCCCUGUGGCCCGGGACCUCCAAGAUGUUUUUAUUUGAAGACUGUAAGUUUCUCUGUGGGGCAUACCAGGAGAGGCGAUCCCGUAGGUACGAGGGUCCUAGGCCGUAUAGGGCUUUAAAGGUUAAAACCAGCGCCUUGAACCUGAUCCUGUACUCCACUGGGAGCCAGUGCAGCUGGUAUAGCACCGGGUGAAUGUGAUCCCACGGCGAGGACCCCGUAAGGAAGACUUUGCAUUUUCCUUUCUCUGUUUUAGUUUUUAUUUAGAUGAGUUUCCUUUACCUUGCUGUAUCAUGAACAAGCUUUAAUGAAACCUUAUGGGAAGAAAGGGGUGGAGAAACAAGCCGGCUCUAGCACUGUGACUAAUCUUAAGUGUAGCUGCAAGCAAACCAAAUUAUACCAACAUUGUCUCCCAUCCGACGUCUGCAGGUUAUUUACCUUUCAGCUUGUAGUCAACCUGUAUAUAAAUAUUAUCUUUAAUAACCAAAUAUAUACUGAGCAGAAGUCCUUCUAAAGUGUGUGCGUGCGCACACACACACAUACACUUUGGGCGGCGUGGGUCUAGCCUUCUGCAGAAGCUGGUUUCUUGGUUACCUCCAACCUACCAGUUUAAUACUUGAACUUUCUCUUGUCGCCAGGCAUUCUCUCCCUUCCCACAACACAUGCAGAACAUCACGACAAAAUUCUUUGUGUAAAAACUCCAGCAUGUCUUGGAAUUUUGGCUGUGACCCCAGGCUUUCAAAGCUCAAAAAAUAUCAAGCAGAGGAUGUGGCUGGGCCCUCAAAAAGUGAAGAAUAUGAGAACAAAACAGAGUCAUUAAAUACAAUGCCAGCUGCUGCUGCUGCUGCUUGUUUAGGCAUCUCUUAUUAUUAAACCGCUCUAGUAGCAACUGGUGUGCUGCGUUUGUUACCUCAAUUGUUCACAGGCAUUGGAUAGAGUCGUUCCAAGCAGCCUAAGAGCAGAAAGCUAACAAGGAAAAAGGAACUUGGGCCAAUGCGGUUGCAGUCCUUAAACACACGUCUCCCUGAGCAAGUGGAAUUGAAUUCGGUGGAAUUUACUGCUGGUUUCUCGUGUACAUAGAAUGAAAAUGCAUAGCAGUUUCCAGAACUUUUCCCAAAACUUCUUCAUUUCAAUUUCACUUGCCUGUGACAUACCCUUCAUGUACUUCAGGUUUGAAGAAACCUUUAAAAGUGUGCUUUACUUGGGAUAAUCAUUCUUAAUUAUUACUUUUAUACAGGGCUUUUUUUUUUAGCAGAACUUGCUGGAACUCUGUUCUGGCUUUUUUCAGGUGGGUACCAUUGCCAUUGUAAGACUACAAGGGAGGCAUUCCUGGUGUGUCCCGGCACCUCUUUUUCUAGAAAAAUAGUAUUGCUUUUAUAGAUUAAUUUAGAAGGCAUCACAGAAGAGCCUCGGGUUGAAGUUCAGCCAUGAUUUUAUUUCAUUUAUUUAUGUACACUCUCAGACACAAGCCCCUACAAGGCACCCUCCUGUUCUCCCCCCACCCAGAGUCUCCUGCCCACUGUACAACUCAGCUCUUCACUUGCUCCAUUAAUGGGACUCAGCCCUGUGCCUGGGACACAAAAUAGGGUUGUCCUCUGUCUCACUAAGCCCCAGGCUAUUGCAUUAAGGCAGAACUGGAACAUCGUGGGCUACUUGGGUGCGGGGCAAAGAGCAUUUCUUAAACUUAAUAUAUAGAUGAUACGGCUGUUAUGACAGAGAUAGGACAGUGCCAAGUCUUAAAAUUAAUUCUGAGAAUUAAUUUCUUAGUGCAGUCCCUAAACUAACAACAACUCAAGCAAUGGUGUUGCCAAGAUGUCCCGGGAUGUUUAAAUAUUUGGGCUUCCACAUUCCAAAGCAAAAGGCAAUGGCUUUGAGGUUUAUUUCUUAUUACAAUCAAACAGUAUAUAAAUUUUAUGAAAUAAACAUACAUUAAAUUGAUACCUUGAUGAGUGCAAAGAAUUAGAAUGGAUUCAAAAAUAUGGUUCAGGGGUGGGGCAGAAAUCUGUUCUGGGGAGAAUUUUCUCAGCACGUAUGAGUCUGAUGUUUCACGGGCUCCUUAAGCCUUUUUCCAGCACUGCUAAAGAAGUCUUCUCAGCCCCUUAGGUGGGUGCUGUUGCAGGCCAGUGGGCUUCUUCAUGAAGGGCCUGGGUAAACCAGGGGUCAUUUUUGUCACUUUUGUGAUGAAAAGGUAAAGGUACCCCCGACCAUUAGGUCCAGUGGCGGACGACUCUGGGGUUGCAGCGGUCAUCUCACUCUAUAGGCUGAGGGAGCCGGCGUACAGCUUCCGGGUCAUGUGGCCAGCAUGACUAAGCCGCUUCUGGUGAACCAGAGCAGCGCAUGGAAACGCCAUUUACCUUCCCGCUGGAGCGGUACCUAUUUAUCUACUUGCACUUUGACGUGCUUUCGAACUGCUAGGUUGGCAGGAGCAGAGACCGAGCAACGGGAGUUCACCCCGUCGUGGGGAUUCGAACCACCGACCUUCUGAUCGGCAAGUCCUAGGCUCUGUGGUUUAACCACAGCACCACCCACGUCCCUGUGAUGAAGUGUACCUGCAGCAAUUCCAGUGUCCUACAGGUGCAAAACAUGGCAACAUUUGUGCAACCGAAGAACUGCUUGCCCUUGCAUUCAGCACAAAUAACAUUAGAAAUACUGGUUUUAUCAGACAAUCCAGACACACCCCUUCUGCAGCUUUGAGUAAGCCCCUUUUCUGGGAAUGCAUUAUGGCUAGAGCUAUCAGCAGUAACCAUAACCCCACAGACAACUUCCUCUACUGUGAUUUGCAAGGCUCACAUGUUCUGUGGGAAUUUCUUGCCACGUAGCAUAUGGGGAACUGAGGAAUUGAGAGUUAAUUAUUCACUUUCAGAAAAGUGAGUCUUCUGCUGGUUGUGCUGGUACAGGUUGAUGAGCAAGAAAUUUUAAGGUUUCCCUAGUGUCACACCUUUUGCCAAAGGAGGCUUUUGAGACUUGGGCAGUUGAGGAGGAUGAGAGUGCAGGAAUACACAUCAGCCCACAUGAGAGAUGAAAGAAAUCAUAGCUGUAGCACUGUUAGGGGUAAACUACAGUUCCCAGCAUGCUUUGGGAAAAGCUAUGUGCUUUAAAUGUGAUUCAGAUAUGUGGUGUGGAUGUGACCAUAAGGGAUCUGUGGUUCUGUAAUCACAUCAACUCAAACAGAAAGGGAAGAAAUGGAGGCAGUGAGAGAUUUUACUUUCUUGGGCUCCAUGAUCACUGCAGAUGGUGACAGCAGCCACGAAAUUAAAAGACGCCUGCUUCUUGGGAGAAAAGCAAUGACAAACCUAGACAGCAUCUUAAAAAGUAGAGACAUCACCUUGCCAACAAAGGUCCAUAUAGUUAAAGCUAUGGUUUUCCCAGUAGUGAUGUAUGGAAGUGAGAGCUGGACCAUAAAGAAGGCUGAUCACUGAAGAAUGGAUGCUUUUGAAUUCUGGUGCUGGAGGAGACUCUUGAGAGUCCCAUGGACUGCAAGAAGAUCAAACCUCUCCAUUCUGAAGGAAAUCAGCCCUGAGUGCUCACUGGAAGGACAGAUCCUGAAGCUGAGGCUCCAAGACUUUGGCCACCUCAUGAGAAGAGAAGACUCCCUGGAAAAGACCCUGAUGUUGGGAAAGACACAAGGAGAAGGGGACAGCAGAGGACGAGAUGGUUGGAUAGUGUUCUUGAAGCUACCAGCAUGAGUUUGACUAAACUGUGGGAGGCAGUGGAAGACAGAAGUGCCUGGCGUGCUCUGGUCCAUGGGGUCACGAAGAGUCGGACACGACUAAACGACUAAACAACAACAAUCACAUCAAGUGCGCUAUGUUCUGCGCUCAGUUUGCCCAGCUUCUCCUCCAGUGUUUCUGCCUGAUGAUCUUUUGAAAAUGUGUAUUUGGGCUUUUGUUUCUUCUUUUACCACCACUGCAAUUCUGCCUGUGUUAAAGGGGCCUCCCCAGCUGCACUAUGUUCCAAAAUAAUCUAACAUCCAAAUGCAGGCUACCCGCCCUCUUAUGUGUUUUGAAAAAAUGUUGUUGAUGUCCCUAUCCUGCAGUAAGGUGCUGGUCAGAACUGGGGUUAAAAAUAAGCUAACAAUUGGAAGACUAUUUGGCUAUCCAAGCCUGCCCAGUCACUCUCUGUUUUGGGACAGAUGGUACAGAACUCCCCUAUACAGUGGUACCUCAGGUUAAGAACUUAAUUCGUUCCGGAGGUCCGUUCUUAACCUGAAACCGUUCUUAACCUGAGGUACCACUUUAGCUAAUGGGGCCUCUCGCCGCCACCACCGCACGAUUUCUGUUCUUAUCCUGAAGCAAAGCUCUUAACCCGAGGUACUAUUUCUGGGUUAGCGGAGUCUGUAACCUGAAGCAUCUGUAAUCCGAGGUACCACUGUAGCUCUCACACAUGACAUUAGGGUCACCCCCAGAUUAGUGGGUCUGGCCAGCAGACUUUUGGUAUGGGAAUUCAGCAAGAAAUUUAUUAAAGAAUCAACUGACUUCAUUUGUUUGAAGGUUCUAAUGUUGACAUUAAAUCUAAGAAGUUACUCACCUUUCAUUAUGGAAGCAUGUUUGUCCAUUACAUAAAAAUGGACAUUAGUUUGUAGUAUUAGACUGCAUGGAACAUAAGCGUUGCUUAACACACCAAGUCUAAGAAGAACAGAGAAAUCUGAUACAACCUUAUUGACUGUUCAGAUCACUCUGUUUUGGAUGACUCCUUUCUGUCAGUCAAAAGGGUUUGUGACUUGUACAUCUUUGGGGGGAGGGAUAGAUUUCAAAUAACAGCAUAUUCAAUGAGCUCCCUCUGUGUAACUGAAGAUGGAAAAUAUGAAGAAUUGGUUGUAAUUCACAUUGUUAUAAUUUACACUUAUCAGUAUUAUGUCCAAAGGUUUCUUUUUUAGUUGUGUAGUUAUCACUAAAAACAAAAAGCUUAAAAAAUAUAUUUUCUAAAUCUUGUUAUGUGAAUGUUAAGAUUCAUGUUGGGGGUUAUGAUUGUUUGCUUAUGACUGACUGUCGAUUUGUUCAGAACAAAUUAGAAAUAGCUUAAAAUCACAGGAAAGCAUUUGAUGUGUCCCAUGAUACCCACGUUGAUAUGAUGUUAAACUACAGGCUGGGUGUUAUGACUGUUCUAUUUGCCUUGCACCGCACGCCUGGUCCACCAUCUCCAGUUACUUUAUGUAAUAAAGGAUUUGCAUGAUAGUGACCCUAUGAUCCUGUCAAUGUGACGUCACAAUUGGUACUGAAACGUAGGAGAAAAAUUAUGGCAGUUGGUUGUUUUGUCUGCAUCUUGAGUGCUUUAUGGGGGGAAAUGUAUUACAAACGUGCUGUCAGCUCAAUUUUGAGUAGGCCCGGUUCUAACAGAGAGAAAGAGCUCCAAUUUAUUCAUGUGAACUUGCAAAAAGGGGAAAGAAAUCUGAGCGCAAUCAAAGUAGCUCACAAAUAGUAAGAUCAAUCCACUCAUUCUUAGGAAUGAGGAUCCAUUUCUUGACGCUUUGUGUAGAGAAGGCUAAAUUUAUGUGUUAAUAUAUUCACAAAUGAAUAAUUCAGCCAGUUUGGAUAACACCCAUGCUGAGAGUGCUUACAGCUUCCUCCCUGUUUCUAACACUGUCUGUCAAUUAUAAUGCAUGGAUGACCCAACAGGACAUCUCUCUCCCCACUGCACCAGGGUAAAUACCGAUCCUCAGCAGUCACAGCUUUCACCCAUAUCUAGCAGUGGCAACAGUCUGAAAAAAAUAAUGAUCUUUCAGUUCUCAGAACAACUCUGCAGUAGGACUACCAUCAGUAUGGGGCUCUAAUCUGUGCUCCACAAAUAAACUAAGCCAACAUUUAGAGACAUCCCAAAUUCUCCAGUCCACGUGAUUAAAUCCUACAUAUUAAAUGGAAGCUAGGACUGUUCAAUGGGACACAGGUGGCGCUGUGGGUUAAACCACAGAGCCUAAGACUUGCCGAUCAGAAGGUUGGCGGUUCAAAUCCCCGUGAUGGGGUGAGCUCCCGUUGCUCGGUCCCUGCUCCUGCCAACCUAGCAGUUCGAAAGCACGUCAAAGUGCAAGUAGAUAAAUAGGUACCGCUCUGGCGGGAAGGUAAACGGCAUUUCCGUGUGCUGCUCUGGUUUUGCCAGAAGCAGCUUAGUCAUGCUGGCCACAUGACCCGGAAGCUAUACGCCGGCUCCCUCAGCCAAUAAAGCGAGAUGAGCGCUGCAACCCCAGAAUCGGCCACGACUGGACCUAAUGGUCAGGGGUCCCUUUACCUUUACCUUUUAAGACUGUUCAAUGAUCUUUAAACGGAUGCCUUCCAGUAUAACAGAGGGGUUUUAACAACAACUUUAUGUUUGGAAUACAUAUGUCAGCAAGAAAAUGUAGCGCGGACUAUGUUGAGCUUUGUCUUCAUAGUUACCAUCCACUAGCCAAAUCAUGUAUCCAACAGGUACAUAAAGCAUUCUCACAAGAUUCCCUGGUUUAAAAGGUCCAAAAACGACCAGCCAGAAUGAACAAAUGCUUUUAUUUCCCAAAGCCACUAACUUUCGCUGAGUGCAUGUCCCAGCCAGGGACACAGUUCACACGGGUCAAGUAGAGUGGCACUUUGGCAACAUGUCUAAAAUACUAGGAUUAUAAAAAUGAAGAGGUAGUCAGGAAACGAAACAAAAAUCUCCACUGUGAAAAUCUGUAACUGGUGCAGAGCACUGCACAAAGGCAAUAAUGGUGACAUGUACACAAAUUUUCAGAACCAAAGAGAACUAAUUUGUGUUGUGCAGACAUCAUAUGACGUCUGCACAUAGUUACAUGCCCACUCUGCUACAAUUGUGUUUACUGGCUGAACACCCCUCCAUUUUUCAAUAUGUUGGCAGGUUAUACAAAAUAAAUUAUUCUACAAGUUGGAAACGAGGGGAAUGCUAGCUUCUCCAAUCCACACACUUCCUUUGUAGACCAUCUGAUAUUAUAUAUUCAGGAGAGAUAAAGCCAGUUUCAGAGCAGGGAAGAAUAAGAGAGCUCACCAGGAAAGGUAAGCCAAUUUUGAGCUACUUUUGACUCUCCCAAAAGUAAACUGAAUAGCUGAAUGCUGAAAACUAGACACUGGAGUGUGGUAGUUAGGCAAAGGAAUGCUGAAUGAAAGUACCGACGUCUAAUUUUAUUAGCACUCAUCUUUAAAAUUUAUUUUUCUGCCUUCUGGUCAGAGUCACAAUAUUCAAGGUGACAAAUGAGGACAGUUAUCAGAAAAUAUAUUUUGCAGCAUGGGAGUGUUUGCAUGGAACAAAGUUUGAAAACUCAGGCCUUUCUCAAGGGUGGAAGCAGUCAAAAGAGUGGAAGCAGUCUACCUCUCUUUCAAAUCAGAACCAGUGAAGGCGGUGAAGGUGCUGUGUGAGUGUCCGGAGGCGGUUGGAGGAUGGAUGGCGGCUAACAGAUUGAGGUUGAAUCCUGACAAGACAGAAGUACUGUUUUUUGGGGACAGGGGGUGGGUGGGGGUGGGGGACUCCCUGGUCUUGAAUGGGGUAACUGUGCCCCUGAAGGACCAGGUGCGCAGCCUGGGAGUCAUUCUGGACUCACAGCUGUACAUGGAGGCGCAGGUCAAUUCUGUGUCCAGGGCAGGUGUUUAUCAGCUCCAUCUGGAACACAGGCUGAGACCCUACCUGCCCACGGACUGUCUUGCCAGAGUGGUGCCCGCUCUAGUUAUCUCUCGCUUGGACUACUGCAAUGUGCUCUACGUGGGGCUACCUUUGAAGGUGAUACGGAAACUACAACUAAUCCAGAACGCAGCAGCCAGACUGGUGACUGGGAGUGGCCACCGAGACCAUAUAACACCGGUCCUGAAAGACCUACAUUGACUCCCAGUACGUCUCCAAGCACAAUUCAAAGUGUUGGUGCUGACCUUUAAAGCCCUAAACAGCCUCGGCCCAGUAUACCUGAAGAAGCGUCUCCACCCCCAUCGUUCAACCUGGACACUGAGGUCCAGCUCCGAGGGCCUUCUGGCGGUUCCCUCACUGCGAGACGUGAGGUUAUAGGGAACCAGGCAGAGGGCCUUCUUGGUAGUGGCGCCCACCCUGUGGAACGCCCUCCCACCAGAUGUCAAAGAGAAAAAUAACUACCAAACUUUUAGAAGACAUCUGAAGGCAGCCCUGUUUAGGGAAGAUUUAAUGUUUAAUAGGUUAUUGUAUUUUAAUGUUCUGUUGGAAGCCGCCCAGGGUGGCUGGGGAAACCCAGCCAGAUGGGUGGGGUAUAAAUAAUUAAUAAUAAUAAUAAUAAUAAUAAUAAAAACAGUAGCUCUCAAAUCUGUUUAUUUACUUCUGCUACUUCCUUCUCUAUUACUCUCACCUUCUUUUACAAUUUUAAUUCCCCACAAAGUGCAGUCCUCCUUUACCCUUUAAAAACAGGAGGCUAGGGGAAUGGUGGUGCAGUAAAUUAUUUUGCCAACAAGUUCAAAUCUAGAGCAAUGCUACCAACUGGUGUGGUGUUUUUUUAAGCAAAAGGAUAUUGAAGACACAGAAUGAAAGCUCCAUUUGCAGUAAAGAGACACAGACAUAUACCAGAAAUGGGGAUUUCAUUCACUGUUUCCAAUGUUGUUGUUGUUGUUUAUUCGUUUAGUCGUGUCCGACUCUUCGUGACCCCAUGGACCAGAGCACGCCAGGCACCUCUGUCCUCCACUGCCUCCCGCAGUUUGGUCAAACUCAUGCUGGUAACCUCGAAAACACUAUCCAACCAUCUUGUCCUCUGUCACCCCCUUCUCCUUGUGCCCUCCAUCUUUCCCAACAUCAGGGUCUUCUCCAGGGAGUCUUCUCUUCUCAUGAGGUGGCCAAAGUACUGGAGCCUCAGCUUCACGAUCUGUCCUUCCAGUGAGCACUCAGGGCUGAUUUCCUUCAGAAUGGAGAGGUUUGAUCUUCUUGCAAUACCCCUUUGCUAAGAAAAGCACCUGUCAGCAGAGCUGCUCCAGAUUUGAUAUUGAAUUGCAGCAGGAUGCUAUUUACACUUUGAUAGGUUUUGAAAGUGAGGAAGAAUGAAUAUUUAAAAGCUAUAUAAAAAAACGUUUUUAAUAAAUCUUUAGAAAAGCAGACAUACAUAUAUGUGCUUCAACAUUUUAAUGCAAAAAUUCUCUUUGACCACUUACUAUACGAUGGAAAAAUUAUUCACAGGCAAAGAAGAAAUAAUCUUUCCCGAGUUUGAUUCUUAAAAAAGAUUACAAGUUUUUCUGAAGUCAGAGCAAAUCAUGACAGAAUUUUUAAAUAGAAGGUAAAAUAAAAUGUAACAAAGUAAAAAUAAUAGUGUGAAUAUUUUCCAUCUAUUUAGUUGUCACAUACGUCAAGCCAUUAUGCAAUUCAAGCACUCCAAGCCUCUUCUUUAGUUGAGAUAUGUGCUGUUCAAGAUUCAUACCAGUGCUUUCAAGGAUCCAGUUCGUUUAUAAUAAGAAUCUUGAACUGCAAAAGCCCUGUGGGCACUCCAGCCAACCAACACUGUCCAGCUUGCAUUUAACCAUCUUGCUAACGUGACUAUCCUAAGAGAAGUCCAAUGCCAGGAGCAGAGGGGAAAGCUCUUUCUCUCUCUCUCUCUCUCUCUCUCUCUCUCUCUCUCUCUCUCUCUCCUGUUUGACAAAGAAAAUACAGACUCUCUAGUGAGAUUAAAGGGAUGCUGAGAGAAGGAUCUAAGAAUAAAUCUUGCAAAGGAGCUAUAGAAUGCACCAUGGCAUAAAAAGCCAUAUCCAAGUGUCAGGAUAAAAGAACAUACCUGAAAGGUCCUUCACCACUGGCCUUAGACACCUAAAACGUUAAAUCUGAGUGAUGGCACAAGGGCCAUGGGGGAAAGAUUACAAGGCUAGACGGACCUUCUUCUACAAACUUUAUUGGAGAAAGUAUUUGUGGAAUGUGAGAAAAUUGUUCUCCCAUUCAAACAGCAAAGCAUCCUUCUGUAUGUUAACUCUGUGUGGUGUAGUAUUUAAGAGUGGUGGACUCGUAAUCUGGUGAACUGGGUUUGCGUCUCCGCUCCUCCACCUGCAGCUGCUGGGUGACCUUGGGCCAGUCACACUUCUUGAAGUCUCUCAGCCCCACUCACCUCACAGAGUGUGUGUUGUGGGGGAGGAAGGGAAAGGAGAAUGUUAGCCGCUUUGAGACUCCUGAAGAGGAGUGAAAGGCGGGAUAUCAAAUCCAAAUCCAAAGGUUGGUGGACAAAGCACAGUAUUACCAUACAAAGAAAUUUUGUUUUUUUAUAUUCAUAGCGGGAAGCCAGAUUGUUGCAGAGUACUGGAAGGUAGAAGAAUGGGCAAGGACACACAAAUGGAAAAGGAACCAAACAAAAUGAAGCAUCAUGACAUGGAGAGUAUGACAACGACUCUCUUUUUGUCCUUUUCUCACAGUGCAGUUGGGAAUG